UUAAUCUCAUUAAAGUCUUGUUUCACACACAAUUUUGGAAAUUACUUUAAUUCACUUUCACAAAAAUUUCAUAUCAAGCGAUCAAAAGUUGCUUCACUGGCGGGUUUAUUUAGAUUAGUGGUUUAGUAAUUAAUUUAUCGAGGCGUGUGGAGCAGACAGUGGGCGCGUUAUAAAUAAAAAAUGAAACGGCACGGGAAUUGUAUAUACUGCUAAUGCUGCUGCCGUUGCACGGACGGCAGGAAAAACACCUCAGAGGUACGAGGGUACUGUUGUUCCGAUGAUGGAUACCACAACGGCAGGGCAGAUAUUACAUUACAUUCACAUUUUACAUGACACAAGGCACAUGACAUCUGACUUUUUCUCUUAUUUCGAUGAAAAUAUCGAUACAUAUUAUAACGGCUACAUAUCUAUCCUCUCUACAAUUUGAUACACACGCGCUUGGCAGAUAAUGCCGACCUAUUCCGACUGUAGGAGCAGCUGGGAUCCCGAUGACCUGCAGCAGCGGUUAAUUUUACCAAAAACCAAGUAUUGGAGUAAACCAACAGCCCACGUAUAAAACCCAACCGAUACAAAAAUACAAAAGAUGUAUAAACGAAAAACUGUAAAUAUAGCGAUUUAAAAAAAUGCGCGAUAUCGAUGAUUUAAAACGUACCAUCUAGAUAUUUCGUCUUUUUUCUCGACAUGUUAAAAAAGCUUUUCGUAUCUGCUAGUUUUGAGGAAGAACUUUCGAAUCUGUUAAACCAACUGUUGCUUACGAUUUUGUUGAUAUCCAAGUUUUCUUCAGA
Drosophila obscura is the source of this 785-nucleotide long non-coding RNA. RefSeq lists it as uncharacterized. NCBI's taxonomy places the organism in Eukaryota, Metazoa, Arthropoda, Insecta, Diptera, Drosophilidae. The record is from RefSeq and is a predicted model, not a curated record. The transcript has 5 exons.